RNAcentral lists this ribosomal RNA (1066 nucleotides) under uncultured organism. RNAcentral's name for it is "bacterial SSU rRNA". It matches the Rfam family "Bacterial small subunit ribosomal RNA", at positions 379 to 1433 of the family's 1533-position model. The record is from RNAcentral.
AAGUCUGACCGAGCGACGCCGCGUGCGGGAUGAAGGCCCUCGGGUUGUAAACCGCUGUCGGUUGGGAGGAAAUCCUAUAGGGCUCUCUCUAUAGGUUGACCGAUCUUCAGAGGAAGGACGUGGCUAAGUUCGUGCCAGCAGCCGCGGUAAGACUAACCGUCCAAACGUUAUUCGGUAUCACUGGGCUUAAAGCGUUCGUAGGCGGCUUGGUACGUGAGAUGUGAAAGCCCACGGCUCAACCGUGGAAUUGCGUUUCAAACCAUCAGUGCUAGAGGAUGGCAGGGGUGAUGGGAACUGAUGGUGGAGCGGUGAAAUGCGUUGAUAUCAUCAGGAACACCGGUGGCGAAGGCGCAUCACUGGGCCAUUUCUGACGCUGAGGAACGAAAGCUAGGGUACCGAACGGGAUUAGAUACCCCGGUAGUCCUAGCCGUAAACGAUGAGCACUGGGUUGAGGGGACUCUCACAUCCUCUCGGCCGUAGCGAAAGCGUUAAGUGCUCCGCCUGGGGAGUAUGGUCGCAAGGCUGAAACUCAAAGGAAUUGACGGGGGCUCACACAAGCGGUGGAGGAUGUGGCUUAAUUCGAGGCUACGCGAAGAACCUUAUCCUAGAUUUGACAUGCUUGAGAACCUCCUAGAAAUAGAAGGGUGCCCUUCGGGGAACUCUUGCACAGGUGCUGCAUGGCCGUCGUCAGCUCGUGUCGUGAGAUGUCGGCUUAAGUCCCUUAACGAGCGAAACCCUUAUCUCUAGUUGCCAGCGGGUAAUGCCGGGGACUCUAGAGAGACUGCCGGUGUCAAACCGGAGGAAGGUGGGGAUGACGUCAAGUCAUCAUGGCCUUUAUGUCUAGGGCUGCACACGUCCUACAAUGGUACGGACAAAGGGAAGCAAGACCGCGAGGUGGAGCUAAUCCCAAAAACCGUGCAUCAGUUCGGAUUGCAGGCUGCAACUCGCCUGCAUGAAGCCGGAAUCGCUAGUAAUCGUGGGUCAGCAUACCACGGUGAAUGUGUUCCUGAGCAUUGUACACACCGCCCGUCAAGCCACGAAAGUUGGGAGGGCCCGAAGUCGCUGA